Molecule: non-coding RNA, 45 nt
Filed under: Trichobilharzia regenti
Lineage: Eukaryota; Metazoa; Platyhelminthes; Trematoda; Strigeidida; Schistosomatidae
Source: RNAcentral
AUUCAGAUAACGAGUCCCAAAUAGAACGAAAUAUGCAUCUUGAAU